This 492-nucleotide ribosomal RNA is filed under the name uncultured bacterium. RNAcentral's name for it is "partial 16S ribosomal RNA". It matches the Rfam family "Bacterial small subunit ribosomal RNA", at positions 29 to 507 of the family's 1533-position model. The record is from RNAcentral.
AGUGAACGCUGGCGGUAGGCCUAACACAUGCAAGUCGAACGGCAGCACAGUAGGAGCUUGCUCUUACGGGUGGCGAGUGGCGGACGGGUGAGGAAUACAUCGGAAUCUACUUUUUCGUGGGGGAUAACGUAGGGAAACUUACGCUAAUACCGCAUACGACCUACGGGUGAAAGCAGGGGAUCUUCGGACCUUGCGCGAUUGAAUGAGCCGAUGUCGGAUUAGCUAGUUGGCGGGGUAAAGGCCCACCAAGGCGACGAUCCGUAGCUGGUCUGAGAGGAUGAUCAGCCACACUGGAACUGAGACACGGUCCAGACUCCUACGGGAGGCAGCAGUGGGGAAUAUUGGACAAUGGGCGCAAGCCUGAUCCAGCCAUACCGCGUGGGUGAAGAAGGCCUUCGGGUUGUAAAGCCCUUUUGUUGGGAAAGAAAAGCAGCAGGUUAAUACCCAGCUGUUCUGACGGUACCCAAAGAAUAAGCACCGGCUAACUUCGUG